Molecule: ribosomal RNA, 496 nt
Filed under: uncultured bacterium
Lineage: Bacteria
Description: partial 16S ribosomal RNA
Rfam family: Bacterial small subunit ribosomal RNA
Source: RNAcentral
GAUGAACGCUGGCGGCGUGCCUAAUACAUGCAAGUCGAGCGAACAGACGAGGAGCUUGCUCCUCUGACGUUAGCGGCGGACGGGUGAGUAACACGUGGAUAACCUACCUAUAAGACUGGGAUAACUUCGGGAAACCGGAGCUAAUACCGGAUAAUAUAUUGAACCGCAUGGUUCAAUAGUGAAAGACGGUUUUGCUGUCACUUAUAGAUGGAUCCGCGCCGCAUUAGCUAGUUGGUAAGGUAACGGCUUACCAAGGCAACGAUGCGUAGCCGACCUGAGAGGGUGAUCGGCCACACUGGAGCUGAGACACGGUCCAGACUCCUACGGGAGGCAGCAGUAGGGAAUCUUCCGCAAGGGGCGAAAGCCUGACGGAGCAACGCCGCGUGAGUGAUGAAGGUCUUCGGAUCGUAAAACUCUGUUAUUAGGGAAGAACAAAUGUGUAAGUAACGAUGCACGUCUUGACGGUACCUAAUCAGAAAGCCACGGCGAACUACGU